UGGCGGCGUGCUUAACACAUGCAAGUCGAACGAGAUCCAAUCAGUAGCAAUACUGGUGAAGAUCUAGUGGCGAACGGGUGCGUAACACGUGAGGAACUUGUCCCGGUCUCUGGGAUAACAGUUGGAAACGACUGCUAAUACCGGAUGACGUCGGAGCGUCGCAUGGCGCGCUGACGAAAGGGUUACUGGAUCGGGAGAGCCUCGCGGCCUAUCAGCUUGUUGGUGGGGUAACGGCCUACCAAGGCAUCGACGGGUAGCUGGUCUGAGAGGAUGAUCAGCCACACUGGGACUGAGACACGGCCCAGACUCCUACGGGAGGCAGCAGUGGGGAAUCUUGCACAAUGGGCGAAAGCCUGAUGCAGCAACGCCGCGUGCGGGAAGAAGGCCUUCGGGUUGUAAACCGCUUUCAGAAGGAACGAAACUGACGGUACUUUCAGAAGAAGGUGCGGCCAACUACGUGCCAGCAGCCGCGGUGACACGUAGGCACCAAGCGUUGUCCGGAUUUAUUGGGCGUAAAGAGCUCGUAGGCGGUUCAGUAAGUCGGGUGUGAAAACUUUGGGCUUAACCCAAAGCGUGCAUCUGAUACUGCUGUGACUUGAGUUCGGUAGGGGAGUGGGGAAUUCCUAGUGUAGCGGUGAAAUGCGCAGAUAUUAGGAGGAACACCGGUGGCGAAGGCGCCACUCUGGGCCGAAACUGACGCUGAGGAGCGAAAGCAUGGGUAGCAAAC
RNAcentral lists this ribosomal RNA (727 nucleotides) under uncultured soil bacterium. Its description in RNAcentral is "bacterial SSU rRNA". It matches the Rfam family "Bacterial small subunit ribosomal RNA", at positions 37 to 773 of the family's 1533-position model. The record is from RNAcentral.